UGAUGUCGAGUGGCGGACGGCGUGAGUAAUGCUUGGGAACUUGCCUUUGCGAGGGGGAUAACAGUUGGAAACGACUGCUAAUACCGCAUAAUGUCUUCGGACCAAACGGGGCUUAGGCUCCGGCGCAAAGAGAGGCCCAAGUGAGAUUAGCUAGUUGGUGAGGUAAAGGCUCACCAAGGCAACGAUCUCUAGCUGUUCUGAGAGGAAGAUCAGCCACACUGGGACUGAGACACGGCCCAGACUCCUACGGGAGGCAGCAGUGGGGAAUAUUGCACAAUGGGGGAAACCCUGAUGCAGCCAUGCCGCGUGUGUGAAGAAGGCCUUCGGGUUGUAAAGCACUUUCAGUUGUGAGGAAAAGUUAGUAGUUAAUACCUGCUAGCCGUGACGUUAACAACAGAAGAAGCACCGGCUAACUCCGUGCCAGCAGCCGCGGUAAUACGGAGGGUGCGAGCGUUAAUCGGA
Molecule: ribosomal RNA, 462 nt
Filed under: Alteromonas stellipolaris
Lineage: Bacteria; Pseudomonadati; Pseudomonadota; Gammaproteobacteria; Alteromonadales; Alteromonadaceae
Description: bacterial SSU rRNA
Rfam family: Bacterial small subunit ribosomal RNA
Source: RNAcentral